GGCCAGCAGCCGCGGUAAUACGAAGGUCCCAAGCGUUGUUCGGAAUUACUGGCGUAAAGCGCACGUAGGCGGAUUAGAAAGUUAGAGGUGAAAUCCCGGGGCUCAACCCCGGAACUGCCUUUAAAACUACUAGUCUAGAGUUCGAGAGAGGUGAGUGGAAUUCCGAGUGUAGAGGUGAAAUUCGUAGAUAUUCGGAGGAACACCAGUGGCGAAGGCGGCUCGCUGGCUCGAUACUGACGCUGAGGUGCGAAAGUGUGGGGAGCAAACAGGAUUAGAUA
RNAcentral lists this ribosomal RNA (278 nucleotides) under uncultured bacterium. RNAcentral's name for it is "partial 16S ribosomal RNA". It matches the Rfam family "Bacterial small subunit ribosomal RNA", at positions 506 to 784 of the family's 1533-position model. The record is from RNAcentral.